GAUGAACGCUAGCGGCAGGCUUAAUACAUGCAAGUCGUGGGGCAGCAGGUUUGUAGCAAUACAGAUGCUGGCGACCGGCAAACGGGUGCGGAACACGUACACAACCUUCCUUUAAGUGGGGCAUAGCCCAGGGAAACUUGGAUUAAUACCCCGUAACAUUAUGAAGUGGCAUCGCUUUAUAAUUAUAGCUCCGGCGCUUAAUGAUGGGUGUGCGUCUGAUUAGGUAGUUGGCGGAGUAACAGCCCACCAAGCCUACGAUCAGUAACUGGUGUGAGAGCACGACCAGUCACACGGGCACUGAGACACGGGCCCGACUCCUACGGGAGGCAGCAGUAAGGAAUAUUGGGCAAUGGACGCAAGUCUGACCCAGCCAUGCCGCGUGGAGGAUGAAGGUCCUCUGGAUUGUAAACUUCUUUUAUUUGGGAAGAAACUCCCGAUUUCCAUCGGGAUUGACGGUACCAGAUGAAUAAGCACCGGCUAACUCCGUGCCAGCACG
RNAcentral lists this ribosomal RNA (496 nucleotides) under uncultured bacterium. RNAcentral's name for it is "bacterial SSU rRNA". It matches the Rfam family "Bacterial small subunit ribosomal RNA", at positions 28 to 515 of the family's 1533-position model. The record is from RNAcentral.